This 60-nucleotide long non-coding RNA is filed under the name Peromyscus maniculatus bairdii (prairie deer mouse). Its description in RNAcentral is "HOX antisense intergenic RNA myeloid 1 conserved region 3 (ENSPEMG00000029183.1)". It matches the Rfam family "HOX antisense intergenic RNA myeloid 1 conserved region 3". The record is from RNAcentral. Lineage: Eukaryota; Metazoa; Chordata; Mammalia; Rodentia; Cricetidae.
GGUCUGUUUUGCCUGAACCCAUCAACAACGGGGGAGAUUAAUCAACCACACUGAAAACGG